Molecule: small nuclear RNA, 114 nt
Filed under: Salmo trutta (river trout)
Lineage: Eukaryota; Metazoa; Chordata; Actinopteri; Salmoniformes; Salmonidae
Description: U5 spliceosomal RNA (ENSSTUG00000021194.1)
Rfam family: U5 spliceosomal RNA
About the family: U5 RNA is a component of both types of known spliceosome. The precise function of this molecule is unknown, though it is known that the 5' loop is required for splice site selection and p220 binding, and that both the 3' stem-loop and the Sm site are important for Sm protein binding and cap methylation.
Source: RNAcentral
CGACUCUGGUUUCUCUUCAUUACGCACAGCCUUUCCGCCUUUACUAAAGACUUCCGUGAGAGGAACACUUACGAGUUCAACAUAUUUUGGAAGGGCUUUGCUAUCUGGCAGAGC